Brassica oleracea var. oleracea is the source of this 1139-nucleotide long non-coding RNA. RefSeq lists it as uncharacterized. The record is from RefSeq and is a predicted model, not a curated record. The transcript is spliced from 6 exons. NCBI's taxonomy places the organism in Eukaryota, Viridiplantae, Streptophyta, Magnoliopsida, Brassicales, Brassicaceae.
CAUCUUCACCGUUUUUAGAUCGAAAAGGUAGCUUUAUGACUCCCAUUGUUCUUAGCUUUAUAUAAACUCCUUUAGAGAAUCUCAUUUACUACCUCUACAAAAUCCUUUCCUCUUCAUGUCAACUAUAAGCUAUUCAAUCGCCCACAAGCACAUGCCUAUAGGGUUUCCAUUUCAAUUAAAGCACAAACGGAACGUUUUCACCCGAGAGAGAACGCAGAACUUGGUGACCCUAUCAAACCUAUCCUUUGUUUCGUCUUCGAAUCGAUCUGAUAUUGUCAUCCAAGUUGUGGAUCUCAAGCCUAUCCAAUCUAUAUAAGUUAGUGAGAAUGAUGGAAAGACGAAAGUUUCAUGCUUGCACUUGCGGAUGACUAAGAUCACAACAAUGACAAGUUAAAAUCUGGAGAGCCGGAGCUGAGAUCCUCUGAUCCUCAAGGUGUGGAUGCGGAGAAGCCUGUUGUUCUUACUGAUGAGCCUUUUAGGGAGGCCUCUCCUGAAAGAUGUUAACCCUGAAGUCGAUGUAUUGGCCACACCUACAGUUACAGAGGAAGUGGUAGCGGAUGGUGAGAAGUCUAAUGUCGAGAAGUGGGGCCAAGAGUUGCAGAAUCGUGAAAACAUCCUUCCGUGGAUAAGGUUCACAUCUAACAAUACCCUUCAAAACUAAAUUUGCUAAGCCCCAAGAUCGAGAUCAUACAUUGGAGUUGUCAAGAACAUGAUCAUCUUCGAUCCUGAGAUAUUGUGCAGCAUGUGAAACCAGAGGAAGGGAACCAAUAUAAUGGUGGUUAUAUUACAGAUGAAUGAACAAAACGGCAUCCUGAUCUCAUGUCUUUACCCUUGGAAGACGAGAAUAAAAUUAUCUCUAGGAUGGAUUACAAAGGCAAGAGAAAUGUAAUCGACCUAUAUGCAGGAGUUCGUAAAAGUAUAAAAGUGUCAAAAUCUGCUUGGCACAUCUAUUUGUGGUUUAAUGUUGUGGAGAGCUUGCAUUCACAAAAACACUAUUCAAAAGAGGAUGAAGACAAAGAGGCUAUGAAGACGAGCACACGACCCUUUUGAAUCCUCACCACUAAAUUGUUCGUUGUUGUUUUCGCUGUCUUAAAUGGAAGAUUUAAAAAAAAAACAUUAUGUCAAAAUAAAGUUAAAAU